UUAUAUUAUUUCCCCUUCAUUAGGAUGACUUGACUUUCUCUCGUUGCUAUUUGGUAUAUAUCAUCCAUCCCUCCAUUUCAUACGUAUGCUAAUUUAGUAUUCUUGUUUAGAUUGUUGAUGAUAUAACGAAUAGGCUCGGCCAUGUUUUGCUAGGUACUGAAAUUAUUCAUUUCGUUCUGUUUGUGGGUUACAAUUCUCCUAUAUUAAUCUUUUUCUUUUGUCAAAACAAUCUAUAACAAUUCGUUCUUGAAUGAUUACUAGUUUGAGAGAGUAUCUAGUAACUUUUGUUAAGUGAGCAUCCAAUAAGAUAAUCAUGUUGAAUUGAUGCUUUAAUUUUACUGAAAACUAAAUGAUUUUUUAAUUUAAAAUUGAUCACAGAGUCUGAAUCUUUCAUAGUCCGGGAUCAAAUUUAUGACGGAUUCUACAGUGCAAAAGUGAGGUAUGAAAGUUUAUUUUAAUCCAUUAGAUCAACUUAUUUUAAAAUCAAGGUUUCCUAUUUUUCUUUUUUUUUUGUUUUAUUUUUUAUUUGUUUUCUUCUCUUUACCAAUUUUGCCCCCUCUUUCUCCUCUUCUCUUUCAUCUACCUCAAACCCCUUAUCUCCUCCGCUAGCCCACCAUUCUCAUUUACUUCAACCACCGCACGCCACUUCGGAAAAGUGAUUUCCGACAGCUCUCCCCCCCUCUCCUCAUCGGGAACUACCACGACGCUAUUGUGGACGACCAUGACGUUGCAACACACUGCAUCGACACUGCCGCAUACUUUCUAAAGUAGUAAAGCAGGGUCUCUACUGUGCCAUCGCCGACAACGACUCCACCGCCACUGGCAAAAUAAAAAAAUGAAAGCAUGAGGGUGGCAAGACGAUAGGAAUGAACCCCUGACAAGAACUACCAUCAGAGGCUAGAAGGGCUUUGGGUUUCUUUACAAUAUAAGACUAGGAGAAAGAGAGAGAACACAUGCGGCAAGACAGAGAAGCUGAAAGUACGACAAAGAAGUAGAGAGAAAGAAGAAAAGGGGGAGAAUGAAAGAGAGCAGAGGGUAAAAUAAAAAAAUAGAAAAUGUUAAUCAUUGAUUCAAAAAUAAAUUAAUCUAGUGGAUUAAAAUGAAUUUCUACGAAAGUAAAAAGCUUUCAGACGAUAGAAUCCAUCUCAGAUUUAUAUAAUUUUAGUUGGCGUUUCUCCAUGAUACAAUUGAACACUAAAAAAAACUUCACCGCCCGAGGGAUUUAUUGUAUGAUUUGUAACGCAUUUUUCAAUGGUGACAAUUGUAAGAACAUAAUAUACACGCAGAACACGAGGCAGAAAAGAGUAUUUUAAUUUUCUUCUAGUGUACAGUAGUGACUAGAAGAUAUACGGUGCUCAGUGAAUUAACUUGCUACUGUUGUAUUUGAAAAGAGUUAACUUGUAGUUCAACGGAUGAAGGAUUAUAAUUAUGCAUACCAAGGGUACAAGCGUAGUUUGAUAUAAUCCAGCUAACUCAUACUCAGAAUGAACCAGUUAAAAACUUAUCAAAGUAUAAGAAAAGAACUGGACCAUUUUAAAAAACAACUCUCCUCACCUUCUGCAAAUAAAUGAUCACUCCAACAAGAGAAUAAAAUGAAAGGAUAACAAAAGCUAGAAUCAAAGGGUUACAAUCUGCAAUGCAUUGCUUCCAGACAAAUCGUGAUGAUAGUAGUCUUUCCCUUCAAUAACCCUAUCUAUCGAAACAGUUUAGAAGCACUUUCUGUGCACAAUUGAUGGACCAGAUUCGUCAUAUUCUGCCUUUGCAAUCCACAUCUGCACUCAAAACAACAGUUCGUGUCAUUAUUAUUAGCAUAGAAGAAUGUAUCUCACGAUAACAUAACAUUCCAAGAAGCAGGAAAAAAAAUGAAGAGAACAAACCUGCUGGAAGGUGCUAAGAGAUGCCAAGAUAGAACCACCGAUCCAGACACUGUAUUUUCUCUCAGGUGGUGCUACAACCUUGAUCUUCAUGCUGCUGGGUGCCAAUGCAGAAAUUUCCUUGCUCAUUCUGUCAGCAAUACCAGGGAACAUGGUUGUUCCUCCUGAAAGAACAAUGUUACCAUAAAGGUCCUUCCUGAUAUCAACAUCGCACUUCAUUAUGGAGUUGUAUGUUGUCUCAUGAAUGCCUGAAGCUUCCAUUCCGAUCAUGGAUGGUUGGAACAGAACCUCUGGACAUCUGAAACGCUCAUCGCCAAUAGUGAUGACCUGCCCAUCAGGCAACUCGUAGCUCUUCUCGACGGAUGAGCUGGUCCUGGCUGUCUCCAGUUCUUGCUCGUAGUCAAGGGCAAUGUAAGACAGCUUUUCUUUCACAUCCCUUACAAUUUCCCGCUCGGCUGAGGUGGUGAAGGAAUAACCACGCUCAGUCAAAAUUUUCAUCAAGAAAUCAGUGAGGUCACGACCGGCCAGAUCAAGACGAAGGAUGGCAUGUGGGAGUGCAUAACCCUCAUAGAUAGGGACAGUGUGGCUGACACCAUCACCAGAAUCCAACACAAUACCUGCAAAAAGAAGGCAAAUAAAUGAAGUUUAUAAAGUCAAUCACAUGAUAUAUGGAAGCUUUAUACAAGUUUUCUACAAUCACAAUUUCCAAAUGCAAUGCAGUUCACAGAAUGUGUUUCUUCCCCAUUUAGUAAUAUGUCAAGUGAAAUCAUUCACAAUGAAAUGAAUCAUUUUCAGUUUAUUCUAAUAUAUCUGGAAAUGCAAUGUUGAACAUACAGACUUUAUAGAUGCUAAUGGAUGUUGACAUGUGUUUAUUUCAAUUUCAAAGUUCCCAGAUAAGUUCAAACUAUACAGCCUCAAGCUAACCAAACAAAUAAAAAAUUGCUUACCAGUUGUACGACCACUUGCAUACAGUGAAAGAACAGCUUGGAUGGCUACGUACAUAGCAGGGGUGUUGAAGGUCUCAAACAUGAUUUGGGUCAUCUUCUCACGAUUAGCCUUGGGGUUAAGAGGGGCCUCAGUUAAGAGAACUGGAUGCUCUU
RNAcentral lists this long non-coding RNA (2974 nucleotides) under Glycine max (soybean). RNAcentral's name for it is "long non-coding RNA (GMAX_LNC000313)". The record is from RNAcentral. Lineage: Eukaryota; Viridiplantae; Streptophyta; Magnoliopsida; Fabales; Fabaceae.